AAGUCGUAACAAGGUUUCCGUAGGUGAACCUGCGGAAGGAUCAUUACAAAACAAAAUCCAAUCAACACCAAAAUGUGCUCAUAACUGCAAAAGGUCUUUGUGUGUGUGUGUGUAUAUGUUGUGUGUGUGUGUGUUGUGUGUGUGUGUGUGUGUGUGUUCUCACACAUGCGCACACUCACACUCACACUCACACACACACACACACAAACUUUUGCUUGUCUUUGUUUUUCAAUUUUUCUUACAACUCCUUGUUUAAACCAACAACGGAUUACAAUGUUAAAACUUGAAACAAAAACAAUAACAAAAUGACAACUUUUAACGGUGGAUCUCUUGGCUCGU
RNAcentral lists this unclassified non-coding RNA (339 nucleotides) under fungal sp. Its description in RNAcentral is "partial internal transcribed spacer region". The stretch from base 1 to 46 matches the Rfam family "Eukaryotic small subunit ribosomal RNA", at positions 1786 to 1831 of the family's 1831-position model. The record is from RNAcentral. Lineage: Eukaryota; Fungi.